Molecule: microRNA precursor, 93 nt
Filed under: Canis lupus familiaris (dog)
Lineage: Eukaryota; Metazoa; Chordata; Mammalia; Carnivora; Canidae
Also listed under: 1 other name
Description: mir-8799 microRNA precursor family
Rfam family: mir-8799 microRNA precursor family
Source: Rfam by way of RNAcentral
UGGGGGAGUGCAGGAUCCUGGGCUGUAUCCCCUGGUGCCAUGGGAUCCGGGGCCUGCACCACUGAAAUCGCGCUCCCGGGGCUGCGGCUCCCA